CCUACGGAGGACAGCAGUCGAGAAUCAUUCACAAUGGGGGAAACCCUGAUGGUGCGACGCCGCGUGGGGGAAUGAAGUUCUUCGGAUUGUAAACCCCUGUCAUGUGGGAGCAAAUUAAAAAGAUCGUACCACCAGAGGCAGAGACUGCUAACUCUGUGCCAGCAGCCGCGGUACUACAGAGGUCUCAAUCGUUGUUCGGAAUCACUGGGCGUAAGGCGUGCGUAGGCUGUUUCGUAAGUCGUGUGUGAAAGGCGCGGGCUCAACCCGAGGACGGCACAUGAUCCUGCGAGACUAGAGUAAAGGAGGGGGAACCGGAAUUCGCGGUGUAGCAGUGAAAUGCGUAGAUAUCGAGAGGAACACUCGUGGCGAAGGCGGGUUCCUGGACAUUAACUGACGCUGAGGCACGAAGGCCAGGGGAGCGAAAGGGAUUAGAUACCCGGGUAGUC
RNAcentral lists this ribosomal RNA (446 nucleotides) under uncultured bacterium. RNAcentral's name for it is "partial 16S ribosomal RNA". It matches the Rfam family "Bacterial small subunit ribosomal RNA", at positions 338 to 795 of the family's 1533-position model. The record is from RNAcentral.